GAAGGGCUUCCGCCAGGGCCGCCACUGGAGAGCAGCAGCCAUGGCUCUACGCUACCCUAUGGCCGUGGGCCUCAACAAGGGCCACAAGGUGACCAAGAACGUGAGCAAGCCCAGGCACAGCCGCCGCCGCGGGCGUCUGAUGAAACACACCAAGUUCAUGUGGGACAUGAUUCGGGAGGUGUGUGGCUUUGCCCCGUACGAGCGGCGCGCCAUGGAGUUACUGAAGGUCUCCAAGGACAAACGGGCCCUCAAGUUUAUCAAGAAAAGGGUGGGGACGCACAUCCGCGCCAAGAGGAAGCGGGAGGAGCUGAGCAAUGUAUUGGCAGCUAUGAGGAAAGCUGCUGCCAAGAAAGACUGAGCCCCCUCCCCUGGCUUCUCCCUGAAAUAAAGAACAGCUUGACAGAAAAAAAAAAAAAAAAAAAAAAA
Mandrillus leucophaeus (drill) is the source of this 426-nucleotide RNA transcript. It is a transcript of the gene named 60S ribosomal protein L36 pseudogene, with no coding region annotated. The record is from RefSeq and is a predicted model, not a curated record. The transcript has a single exon. NCBI's taxonomy places the organism in Eukaryota, Metazoa, Chordata, Mammalia, Primates, Cercopithecidae.